This 585-nucleotide ribosomal RNA is filed under the name uncultured bacterium. Its description in RNAcentral is "partial 16S ribosomal RNA". It matches the Rfam family "Bacterial small subunit ribosomal RNA", at positions 355 to 1375 of the family's 1533-position model. The record is from RNAcentral.
UGGGGAAUUUUGGACAAUGGGCGAAAGCCUGAUCCAGCAAUGCCGCGUGUGUGAAGAAGGCCUUCGGGUUGUAAAGCACUUUUGUCCGGAAAGAAAUCCUUGGCUCUAAUACAGUCGGGGGAUGACGGUACCGGAAGAAUAAGCACCGGCUAACUACGUGCCAGCAGCCGCGGUAAUACGUAGGGUGCAAGCGUUAAUCGGAAUUACUGGGCGUAAAGCGUGCGCAGGCGGUUUGCUAAGACCGAUGUGAAAUCCCCGGGCUCAACCUGGGAACUGCAUUGGUGACUGGCAGGCUAGAGUAUGGCAGAGGGGGGUAGAAUUCCACGUGUAGCAGUGAAAUGCGUAGAGAUGUGGAGGAAUACCGAUGGCGAAGGCAGCCCCCUGGGCCAAUACUGACGCUCAUGCACGAAAGCGUGGGGAGCAAACAGGAUUAGAUACCCUGGUAGUCCACGCCCUAAACGAUGUCAACUAGUUGUUGGGGAUUCAUUUCCUUAGUAACGUAGCUAACGCGUGAAGUUGACCGCCUGGGGAGUACGGUCGCAAGAUUAAAGCUCAAAGGAAUUGACGGGGUCAUAGCUGUUUCCU